RNAcentral lists this ribosomal RNA (547 nucleotides) under uncultured bacterium. RNAcentral describes it as "bacterial SSU rRNA". It matches the Rfam family "Bacterial small subunit ribosomal RNA", at positions 355 to 896 of the family's 1533-position model. The record is from RNAcentral.
UAGGGAAUUUUUCACAAUGAGCGAAAGCUUGAUGGAGCAAUGCCGCGUGAACGAUGAAGGUCUUUAAGAUUGUAAAGUUCUUUUAUUUGGGAAGAAUGACUUUAGCAGGCAAUGGCUAGAGUUUGACUGUACCAUUUUGAAUAAGUGACGACUAACUAUGUGCCAGCAGUCGCGGUAAUACAUAGGUCGCAAGCGUUAUCCGGAUUUAUUGGGCGUAAAGCAAGCGCAGGCGGAUUGAAAAGUCUGGUGUUAAAGGCAGCUGCUUAACAGUUGUAUGCAUUGGAAACUAUUAAUCUAGAGUGUGGUAGGGAGUUUUGGAAUUUCAUGUGGAGCGGUGAAAUGCGUAGAUAUAUGAAGGAACACCAGUGGCGAAGGCGAAAACUUAGGCCAUUACUGACGCUUAGGCUUGAAAGUGUGGGGAGCAAAUAGGAUUAGAUACCCUAGUAGUCCACACCGUAAACGAUAGAUACUAGCUGUCGGGGCGAUCCCCUCGGUAGUGAAGUUAACACAUUAAGUAUCUCGCCUGGGUAGUACAUUCGCAAGAAUG